This 215-nucleotide long non-coding RNA is filed under the name Capsicum annuum. RNAcentral's name for it is "long non-coding RNA (CANN_LNC004608)". Lineage: Eukaryota; Viridiplantae; Streptophyta; Magnoliopsida; Solanales; Solanaceae. The record is from RNAcentral.
GAAGAUAGAAAACACAUCUUCUUGGAUGGCUUUAUUUCUAAUUUUUUUAAAAAAAUAAUUUGGAAAUAAGCACGAAUAUAUAUUCGUUCACAUCUCAUGACGAAUUAAUUCACAUUAGAAAUCUUACUCCCCAUACCAAUCAUCUUCUCCAAUGGAAAUUCCUCUACCAUUUUGCUCUUUGAAAUUUCUGGAAAAAUAUGAAUGAUAAUAUCUUC